UCAUUUUGGCUUAGGGGAAAGUCCCCUUUGAUUGGUUGACGUUUCAAGCCCUUAGCUUGCAGCUGUGACUUAUUUUGGCUUAGGGGAAAAAAUCCCCUUAGGGAAGUCCCUAGGGACCCAGGAAGUCCAGCCAACUUAGCCACUUAGUCCCUCAAGAUGCAAGGUUUGCUAAGUGUUUUGAGGUUGCAAACUGACUUCUGGGUUUUGAGAACUAUUUGACUUUCUGGCUUCACAACUGGCCAUCAAACUACAGUCAGUCAUGCAACAGGAGCCUCUGAUGACGACCCUUUCUGCUGGGAACCCUUAAAUAGGCCUCUGAGGGAGCUCUGACUGCGGCUUCCCCCAAAACAGCGCCCCCUGUCAGCAGGAGGCAAUAAUGGAGCUAUUUUUUUCUUUCGUUGUCCAAGUGGAAGAUGUUAAAAAAGAAACCCUCAAUG
Molecule: long non-coding RNA, 437 nt
Filed under: Homo sapiens (human)
Lineage: Eukaryota; Metazoa; Chordata; Mammalia; Primates; Hominidae
Description: HSALNT0340531
Source: RNAcentral